AGUUCUCAAAUAUAAUGUAGAUUAGCGUUUGAGUAGCAGAUAAGGUCAAAAGUAAGACAAGUAGUACUGCUAGUGUUAAUGAAUAACGUAUCGAUCAAUACGUAAUAACUAAGGCAAAAACAUGCGACUCGUCUGAGAAUCACCGCCAUUGGAUAACUUCUUCUUGUAAUGUUACAGGCAACUGAUGAUGGACGGAUAUAACACUGGGAAAGAAAAACUAAUCAAACCAACAGAUUUCACCUCACCAGCAAUUUCCAAAAAACCCCAGGAUGACUUGGUGCCUCCAUCAUAUUUUGCAUCAAGUGUCCAGGCUACUACACUGCCUGCAAUGGAUCAAAUCUCAGACACACGACAGUGUGUCUCCUGGAUGAACUCUAGUGUCCCACCAGCUUUACCGAAAGAUCCAUGGCGUGUUUUCACUCAGAGCCAACAAGACAUAUCAACGCUGAGUAAAGAAAAUCAGUGCACCAGGGUGCUGCGAGGACACAACAUAGGAGGGGACACUCCAGAGGAUAACCCGUCAGAUUUGAGGACAAGAUCCACCGAGAGAGGCGAGCAGCCGUCCAGAUGGGAAAUAGAGUGGUGUCUGGAGGCUGAAAAGCACAAAGCAGAGGCUGAGCGGUUGACAGAGCAGAUGGAGACCCUGAAGGAGGCUGAGCAGAGAUAUCGGGAAGAGAUGAGAGUCAAAGACAAUGCCAACAGCAGGCAGAGUCACGAUUUGGAGACAAUGCAUCAAGAAAUAAGCAAGUUGAGGACUGAACACAGCCAAAUGAAAGAAGAGCUCAUACACUGUCGUGCACAGAAGGAGACAAUAAGCUCAAAGCUACAAAUACUUCAGAGGGAGUCUGAUGAGGAACUUGUGAAGCUGAGGAAGGAGAGGGAAGCUAAAGGAGAGAUGAGCAGGCAGCAGGAGGCAGAAAACCAGUCUUUUAGAUUGUCACAGCAAUUGCAACAAAUGCAAGAGGAAGAGAUGAGACUCUUGCGCGACUCGCCCUACGUGGAGUUAGAAGCGGCCAAAAAAUGUAAUAUUGAACUGCAGAGCAAAUUUCAGACUGUGAACCAAGAGGCGCUGCAGCUGAAAAGCAGUCUGACAAUGGUGUCUGGGGAGAGAGAUGAGCUAAAGGAACAACUAAGACAAACCAUACAAGCCAAUAAGACACUAUCGGAAACUUUGCAUAGCCUACGGAAUUACAUUGGCCAGCCGGUCAACGACAAAGGAGAGUUGGAAGAUGUUGAGAGGCUGACCAAAGAGAAUUCAGCAUUACAGAGAACCGCAGAGCUUUUGACUGUUAGAUUUAACUCCAUGAGUGAGAUUGUCUCCCUCCAAGAAAAUAAGAUGCUGAAGGAGGCCUCAAAAGACCCACUGGUGACAAAACGACCUGAUGGCCUCCAUGCGCUUCACCUGUGGAGGAACAAGGUGUUCAAACUGAGCGUCCAGCUCCGCUUGAAGGACGUGGAGCUGCGACGCAAGAGAGAACAGCAUUUCUCACAGCUCAAAUUCAUGGAGCAACAGCUUCAGGAGGAGCAGUAUCGCACAACUCUCCUCCAGCGUAAUCUCGACGCCAAGAUAGCUGAGCUGGACCAGGAGAAAGUGGAAAAGGAGACUUUGCGACAUAACUUGGCACAGGCUUGCAAAGAGAUCCAACAGCUGAAAGAAUGUCGUCGAAGCAAAGAGGCGGAAAUGAAAAGCACAACAGAGGCUGUGCACGGGUUUAGUCUUGCAUUUCACCAUCGCAUGGCAAAAGUGGAUGCCGCACAAGCAAAACUCAACACCCUUGGUCAGAGGUUGAAUUUCGCCAGAGGCCGAGUAGAGACAGUCCAAGCUUUGUUCAUGAGGAGAGUUGCUCUGCACAAAGUCCAGCAGGCCAGUAAACAGACAGAACAGGCUGCUGAGAGCAUUAGACAUUUGCAGACAGAACUUAGUUUGGAGUGCAAAGAGAACACCAAACUCAGGCAUGAGCUCAAAAGAACCCCAAAGUUGAUUGAAAAGGCAUUGGCCGACAUGAAAGAACAGUAUGAGAACAAGCUGGGACAGAAGCAGCAGGAGCUAGAGCAGAUCUGCGUGGAGGUCCAGCAUGUCAUGUCUGGCAGAGAGGAGGUCCAGCAGAAUCUGCAGCAGGUCUUGGACCAGUUAGAGGACAGCAAAGUGACGCAGGAGAAACUCCAGUGUGAACUGCUCAGCCAGAAGGAGCACAGCGAACAAGUCCUGGAGGCACGGAUAUUAGAGAUCGAGAGCCGCUGUGCUGAAAAGCUGAGCGAGAUGGAGGUCCAAGUUAAUAAGGCUGAGAGAGAGCACACCAAAGCAGUUAAGACUUUAGCGCAGUUUGAGGUACUAAGGAGGGACAGAGAAAGCGAAGAGAUCGAGCGGCACAGACGCCAACUGCAGUUUGUUCCAGGCUGUCGUGGCGCAGAGAGCGCCGAGCACUGACAUUCCCAGAGCUUGCACCUCAGCUCUGCAAAAUGUUGCAGGAACUCUUUCAGACAAGAGUGGCUUUACGACUGGAGAACAAGAAGUGAGAUUCCGUACUCUUUUGAAGGAUCUCCAGGUGCUCAGUGUUGCGGUGCUAAACAGCUCAGAGGACUCUGAAGAGGAGGAGCACAGCUGAUUGUGAGGAUUCAUCAGUGAACACAUUUUUAAUUUGUGAUGCAAACCUUGAUGACAUACUUUCCACAACCAGAGCCGCACAAAUAUUGUGGUUGUUGCGGUGGAGGACUCUAUUGCAUCUUUGCCAUAUUUUGGUGACCAUACAACGAUAUUGUCAAUGAAGACCUAAAGCUGAGAAUUAUUUUUUGUCUUUGGAAAUGCAUAUUUUUUCCCAUGGAAACCUUGUAUUUGUUUGCAUUAGUGUCCCAUGACUAUGUUGUCUAUUACUGUUUUUUGCCAUUUAACUGAAUCAUAAUAAUGUCGGUGGCAUGAACCUGGCUUUCAAUCAAUGACAAAGUGUCAGGUGAUAUAAAUAAAGUAUUUAAUAACAAUAAAAAGGUGCUCAAUCGUAGUAGCAUAAUAUACAAAAAUGCAAAUGACCAAAACAACAAAACUCACCUUCCUACAGGAGAAGCACCAAUAAGUACGCAGUAGUGUCUGCAAAAGAUGCUAGCUGAAAUUCCAAACUGCAUCAAAUAACCCUGAUUGCCAGCAAGUCCCAGCUUUGCACCAUGCUUUUACCGCUUUGAGUAAAGGCUCCACCAACAGUGCAGAACAGGAACAGGAAAUACCAAAAUAAGAGACAGUACACGAAACAAAGUUUUUAUUGACAUGUGUUUUUAUUCGUUUUAUCGAGUUGAAUGGUGUUAUGGUCUUUCAAUGAGAUGAUCAAAAGGCUUUUAAAAAGCAGUGAUUUGUGUGAUCGGAACAUAUUCAAACCACCAGUCAAACUAGCAGGUAUUUCAGUUUGGGCACAUAGGGCCCUUUAGUAUUGACAUUUGUGUGUGGAUUGGAUUAGAUCUUGCAGAAGAAAAGGCAAUAAAAUUGGACCUUGGUAUGCAAAGGUGAUGGCCCUAUCUGUGAGAAGAGAGUAAAUGUUUAUCUUAAUGUAAACAUCUAAGAUACGACCUGCAUCUGUUGUCUUUCCAGAAUCCAGACACUUACACACGAACAUCUACUUUUAUGGUCAGGAUGCGCUCUCCUGACCUAGCGCACACGCACAGGCAGGAUGUAGGAAUAUAAAACUGAUGGUUUGGCUUCUCCAAGUUAGGAGUCCUUCAUUUUU
Entelurus aequoreus (snake pipefish) is the source of this 3710-nucleotide RNA transcript. It is a transcript of the gene named coiled-coil alpha-helical rod protein 1, with no coding region annotated. Lineage: Eukaryota; Metazoa; Chordata; Actinopteri; Syngnathiformes; Syngnathidae. The transcript is spliced from 19 exons. The record is from RefSeq and is a predicted model, not a curated record.